CCAAUAGCGUAUAUUAAAGUUGUUGCAGUUAAAAAGCUCGUAGUUGAAUUUCGGAAUCAGUACGCUGGUCGUGCCUUCGGUAUGUACUGGUGUCACUGAUUCCUCCCUUCUGACGAACCGUCAUGCUAUUAAUUUAGUGUGGCGGGGAAUCAGGACUGUUACUUUGAAAAAAUUAGAGUGUUUAAAGCAGGCUCACGCUUGAAUACAUUAGCAUGGAAUAAUGAAAUAGGACGUUGAUCUUAUUUUGUUGGUUUCUAGGAUUGACGUAAUGAUUAAUAGGGAUAGUUGGGGGCAUUAGUAUUCAAUUGUCAGAGGUGAAAUUCUUGGAUUUAUUGAAGACUAACUACUGCGAAAGCAUUUGCCAAGGAUGUUUUCAUUAAUCAAGAACGAAAGUUAGGGGAUCGAAGACGAUCAGAUACCGUCGUAGUCUUAACCAUAAACUAUGCCGACUAGGGAUCGGAUGAUGUUAAUUUUUUAAUGACUCAUUCGGCGCCUUACG
RNAcentral lists this ribosomal RNA (499 nucleotides) under uncultured Glomeromycotina. RNAcentral describes it as "partial small subunit ribosomal RNA". It matches the Rfam family "Eukaryotic small subunit ribosomal RNA", at positions 591 to 1092 of the family's 1831-position model. Lineage: Eukaryota; Fungi; Glomeromycota. The record is from RNAcentral.